UUAAACCGGUUCAAUUCUAAUUAAUAUGGUCAAUUAAAACUAAAAGCAAGAAUUAAUAAGAAAUGGAUUAUGGUUAACUUGUUGUGGCUAUUCAGUUGCUUUGGACCGAGUUCCUCCUUCCCCUUUCUCGCUCGCGGCGGCCGUAAUGGUCUUCUUCUCUGGCGAAUCCCACCGAGCACCCCCGUGAAUGGUCCGGCCACGACCUCUCAUCCUCACAUUUAUCCGCUCGUCCCUGAUUCGUUCAACACUCUCAAUUGCUCAUCUCCGUUCAUAUCCGAUUCUAAAUCUCCGUCUCAGCUUCUCAAUCUCUCUCUGACUCGCACCUCUCGAUCUCUCUUCGGUUUCUAGUCGGAGAUACUCCGACGGCUUCUUCAAUCGCAACGUUGGGGAAAGAAGCAUCAUAGGCCUUCAUCAGGUAUGCAUUCCUCUAACCACACUCGCACUCUUUUCCUUCUACAUUCCUCUACUUCUCUUUGCUUGUUGAUGCGUAUGCAUUGUUAUGGUGAUGUUGAAAGCACCGAAGGUGAAGAUUAGCGAAGUGCAGGGAUGAUUAAAGAGAUUCUUGAAGCUUGUUAAUGAUUGUGUAGAAUCUUCAGCGUAUUGAAGAUCGAUGUGUGACUCAGAGGAAAUGAUGUUCUUGAAGGUUUUGAUUGAAGCAUGAUGCGGAGGUGUUGAAGAUUGAUGAAGAUUCUUGGAAAGAACGAUUUUGAAGAAGCUUGAGAGUUAAUGAUUCUGUUAGAGGUUUUUUAAAAUAUCAAUUCUGUUACGAUUAGAGAUGAUGAAGAGAUGAAGGAUUGUUUCAGUGGUUCUUUUUUCUGUGAGGAUUGCAAUCGGUGAUUGAAGGGAGAUGAAGAUUCAAGCCUUUGUGACGGAUUCUGAAGGUGAUUGGCGAAGAGUUUUCUGCAGAAUUUUGAUGAGUUCUUUGAGAUUGAAGAUGAUUUUCAGAGAGAGAAUUCUGUUACGUUUUAAUGUUAUGAACUUAUCUCUUUUUUUUCUCAGUUCUGUUAUCUUUUCAUGUGAACGUGUGCGAAGAAGAUCAAGAAGGUUGAGAUGAGUGAAGAUUGGAGAAGGUUGAGAAAAGAUGAAGAUUGUUCGUGAGCGAUGGUGGAGGAUUGAUGAAGGUGGAGAAGGUUGAAGAUAGAAGAAGAUCCGGAUUUUUGGUUGAGAAGUUUGUUGCGUUUUUGCUCAGAAGGUGAGAGAGAGUUGAAGAGAAUUUGGUUAUCUCAGAAGAAAGAGGGAGAGUUCGAUAUUGUAUGAAGAUGGUGAAAACGUCAAUGAAUCGAGAGGGUUAUGAAUUCUGUUACAGGCUGCGGGUCAGUUUUCUUUUUGUUGGUUAUGUAAGCUGGUUUUGUGCCGCCACUUGAAGAUGGCAAAGAAUUGGAUCAAGAAUUGGCAUAGCAGGAUGAAGAUGCACAUGGGCUUGGGAACAAUUUUGAUGUAAUCUAUUUUUUUUUAUGGUUUUUCCUUUGUAAUAGACUUGGACCUUUAGAAUGGUGUAUUGUAUUGGACUUUGAAUUGAAAUAUGGUUGAAUGAUCUUGAAACUUGUAUAUCAAAA
Long non-coding RNA from Vicia villosa (hairy vetch), 1556 nucleotides. RefSeq lists it as uncharacterized. Lineage: Eukaryota; Viridiplantae; Streptophyta; Magnoliopsida; Fabales; Fabaceae. The transcript has 2 exons. The record is from RefSeq and is a predicted model, not a curated record.